CGUGUAGGCGGCCAGGUAGGUCCGUUGUGAAAACUCGAGGCUCAACCUCGAGACGUCGAUGGAAACCAUCUGGCUAGAGUCCGGAAGAGGAGAGUGGAAUUCCUGGUGUAGCGGUGAAAUGCGCAGAUAUCAGGAAGAACACCUAUGGCGAAGGCAGCUCUCUGGGACGGUACUGACGCUGAGCGCGAAGCGUGGGAGCGAACA
This 204-nucleotide ribosomal RNA is filed under the name uncultured bacterium. RNAcentral describes it as "partial 16S ribosomal RNA". It matches the Rfam family "Bacterial small subunit ribosomal RNA", at positions 568 to 774 of the family's 1533-position model. The record is from RNAcentral.